AAAUAUAUGAGUAUUAAUGCCAUGCUUGCAUCACCAAGAGAUAUAUGAAUUGAUGCUAUGAUUGCUAUAAUUUGUAUUAUGCCUUAUUUGUAUCAUUUAAUGAUAUCAAAAUCUUACUUCGUAGUUUUACAUGUUGAUAUCUUACAAUAUGAUGAAUUGCUACUAUUACCAUCAUUCAAACCUAUUAUGUAAAAUUUGAAAAUGAAUGUCAAG
Molecule: long non-coding RNA, 213 nt
Filed under: Musa acuminata (dwarf banana)
Lineage: Eukaryota; Viridiplantae; Streptophyta; Magnoliopsida; Zingiberales; Musaceae
Description: long non-coding RNA (MACU_LNC007349)
Source: RNAcentral